GACGAACGCUGGCGGCGUGCCUAACACAUGCAAGUAGAACGCACAGUCUAUACCUUCGCUUGCUACACCAUUGACUGAGAGUUGCGAACGGGUUAGUAACGCGUAGGUAACCUGCCUGGUAGCGGGGGAUAACUAUUGGAAACGAUAGCUAAUACCGCAUAAUAUUAAUUAUUGCAUGAUAAUUUAUUGAAAGGUGGAAUUGCACCACUACCUGAUGGACUUGCGUUGUAUUAGCUAGUAGGUGAGGUAACGGCUCACCUAGGCGACGAUACAUAGCCGACCUGGAGGGGUGGACGGCCGGCCUGGGACUGGGACACGGCCCAGGCUCCUUCGGGGGGGAGCAAUAGGGAAACUUCGGCAAUGGGCGGAAGUCUGGCCGAACAACGCCGCGGGAGUGAAGAAGGUUGUCGGGUCGUAAAGGUCUGUUGUAAGGGAAGAAAGGGUGUGAGAGUGGAAAGUUCACGCUGUGACGGUAUCUGACCAAAAAGGAACGGCUAACUACGUG
This 505-nucleotide ribosomal RNA is filed under the name uncultured bacterium. Its description in RNAcentral is "partial 16S ribosomal RNA". It matches the Rfam family "Bacterial small subunit ribosomal RNA", at positions 28 to 507 of the family's 1533-position model. The record is from RNAcentral.